Molecule: ribosomal RNA, 492 nt
Filed under: uncultured bacterium
Lineage: Bacteria
Description: partial 16S ribosomal RNA
Rfam family: Bacterial small subunit ribosomal RNA
Source: RNAcentral
AGUGAACGCUGGCGGUAGGCCUAACACAUGCAAGUCGAACGGCAGCACAGUAAGAGCUUGCUCUUACGGGUGGCGAGUGGCGGACGGGUGAGGAAUACAUCGGAAUCUACUUUUUCGUGGGGGAUAACGUAGGGAAACUUACGCUAAUACCGCAUACGACCUACGGGUGAAAGCAGGGGAUCUUCGGACCUUGCGCGAUUGAAUGAGCCGAUGUCGGAUUAGCUAGUUGGCGGGGUAAAGGCCCACCAAGGCGACGAUCCGUAGCUGGUCUGAGAGGAUGAGCAGCCACACUGGAACUGAGACGCGGUCCAGCCCCCGCCGGGGGGCGCCAGUGGGGAAUUUUGGACAAUGGGCGCAAGCUUGCUCCAGCAUUCCCGGGGGGGGAAAAAAGGCCUUGGGGUUGAAAGCCCCUUUUGUUGGGAAAAAAAAGCAGCGGUUUAAUCCCCCGCUGUUCUGACGGUACCAAAAAAAAAAGCCCCGGCUAACUUCGUG